This 253-nucleotide ribosomal RNA is filed under the name uncultured bacterium. RNAcentral describes it as "partial 16S ribosomal RNA". It matches the Rfam family "Bacterial small subunit ribosomal RNA", at positions 524 to 776 of the family's 1533-position model. The record is from RNAcentral.
UACGAAGGGGGCUAGCGUUGCUCGGAAUUACUGGGCGUAAAGCGCACGUAGGCGGCUUUCUAAGUCGGGGGUGAAAUCCUGGAGUUCAACUCCAGAACUGCCUUCGAUACUGGAGAGCUUGAGUCCGGGAGAGGUGAGUGGAACUGCGAGUGUAGAGGUGAAAUUCGUAGAUAUUCGCAAGAACACCAGUGGCGAAGGCGGCUCACUGGCCCGGUACUGACGCUGAGGUGCGAAAGCGUGGGGAGCAAACAGG